UGCCAGCAGCCGCGGUAAUACAGAGAGGGCUAGUGUUAUUCAUAAUUAAUGGGCGUAAAGGGUACGUAGACUAUUUAUUAUAUUCAAAGUAAAAGCCAAAAGCUUAACUUUUGGGAUGCUUUAAAAGUGGAUAAAUUUGAGUCUAAGAGAGGGUAGUGGUACUUUUAGUGGAGGGGUGAAAUUCAUAGAUAUUAAAAGGACCGGCAUAAGGCGAAGGCUACUAUAAUUUAAAACCAUCUUAGAACUGACGUUGAGGUGCGAAAGCGUGGGGAGCAAACAGGAUUAGAUA
RNAcentral lists this ribosomal RNA (289 nucleotides) under uncultured bacterium. Its description in RNAcentral is "partial 16S ribosomal RNA". It matches the Rfam family "Bacterial small subunit ribosomal RNA", at positions 506 to 784 of the family's 1533-position model. The record is from RNAcentral.